Ictidomys tridecemlineatus (thirteen-lined ground squirrel) is the source of this 105-nucleotide small nuclear RNA. The record is from Ensembl. NCBI's taxonomy places the organism in Eukaryota, Metazoa, Chordata, Mammalia, Rodentia, Sciuridae.
GUGCUCACUUUAACAUCACAUAUGCUAACAAUUGGAAAGAUACAGAGAUUAGCAUGGCCCCUGGGUAAGGAUGACACACAAAUUUGUGAAGCAUUCCAUAAAAAA